This 429-nucleotide ribosomal RNA is filed under the name uncultured Legionella sp. RNAcentral describes it as "bacterial SSU rRNA". It matches the Rfam family "Bacterial small subunit ribosomal RNA", at positions 355 to 776 of the family's 1533-position model. The record is from RNAcentral. Lineage: Bacteria; Pseudomonadati; Pseudomonadota; Gammaproteobacteria; Legionellales; Legionellaceae.
UGGGGAAUAUUGGACAAUGGGGGCAACCCUGAUCCAGCAAUGCCGCGUGUGUGAAGAAGGCCUGAGGGUUGUAAAGCACUUUCAGUGGGGAGGAGGAUACUUAGGUUAAGAGCUAGAGUAUUGGACGUUACCCACAGAAGAAGCACCGGCUAACUCCGUGCCAGCAGCCGCGGUAAUACGGAGGGUGCGAGCGUUAAUCGGAAUUACUGGGCGUAAAGGGUGCGUAGGUGGUAAAUUAAGUUAUCUGUGAAAUCCCUGGGCUCAACCUGGGCAGGUCAGAUAAUACUGUUUUACUCGAGUAUGGGAGAGGGUAGUGGAAUUUCCGGUGUAGCGGUGAAAUGCGUAGAGAUCGGAAGGAACACCAGUGGCGAAGGCGGCUACCUGGCCCAAUACUGACACUGAGGCACGAAAGCGUGGGGAGCAAACAGG